CGUAACAAGGUCUCCGUAGGUGAACCUGCGGAGGGAUCAUUACAAGUGACCCCGGCUACGGCCGGGAUGUUCAUAACCCUUUGUUGUCCGACUCUGUUGCCUCCGGGGCGACCCUGCCUUCGGGCGGGGGCUCCGGGUGGACACUUCAAACUCUUGCGUAACUUUGCAGUCUGAGUAAACUUAAUUAAUAAAUUAAAACUUUUAACAACGGAUCUCUUGGUUCUGGCAUCGAUGAAGAACGCAGCGAAAUGCGAUAAGUAAUGUGAAUUGCAGAAUUCAGUGAAUCAUCGAAUCUUUGAACGCACAUUGCGCCCCCUGGUAUUCCGGGGGGCAUGCCUGUUCGAGCGUCAUUUCACCACUCAAGCCUCGCUUGGUAUUGGGCAACGCGGUCCGCCGCGUGCCUCAAAUCGUCCGGCUGGGUCUUCUGUCCCCUAAGCGUUGUGGAAACUAUUCGCUAAAGGGUGUUCGGGAGGCUACGCCGUAAAACAACCCCAUUUCUAAGGUUGACCUCGGAUCAGGUAGGGAUACCCGCUGAACUUAAGCAUAUCA
This 549-nucleotide unclassified non-coding RNA is filed under the name Cladosporium ramotenellum. RNAcentral's name for it is "sequence contains 18S rRNA gene, ITS1, 5.8S rRNA gene, ITS2, 28S rRNA gene". The stretch from base 197 to 350 matches the Rfam family "5.8S ribosomal RNA". The record is from RNAcentral. Lineage: Eukaryota; Fungi; Ascomycota; Dothideomycetes; Cladosporiales; Cladosporiaceae.